CCCGAGCAGUACAGGGGACAGAAUGGGGGCUGUGGUCAGUUCAUUGCACUUGUCUCGGCUACUUGUUCAUCUUCGUUGG
Molecule: microRNA precursor, 79 nt
Filed under: Taeniopygia guttata (zebra finch)
Lineage: Eukaryota; Metazoa; Chordata; Aves; Passeriformes; Estrildidae
Description: microRNA tgu-mir-25 precursor
Gene: tgu-mir-25
Source: miRBase by way of RNAcentral